This 1392-nucleotide long non-coding RNA is filed under the name Homo sapiens (human). RNAcentral describes it as "HSALNT0333004". The record is from RNAcentral. Lineage: Eukaryota; Metazoa; Chordata; Mammalia; Primates; Hominidae.
AUGUUUCCAUUAGUUGUAUUCUAAUUAUAGACCUUGACAAAAAAAGCAAAAAGAAGACCCAGCAGAGCCAAGCCCACGGACAUCCUCAGCGCACAGUCUUGAUGUAGCCUUGGCAUGGGCAGCACCAUUCUGGAACUCGCUGAGUCACACUGAGAUGCAGCAGAGGUGUGGGAUCCUGAACUCAGCUGGUUCCCAAGCCCAUUUCUGAAGUCCUAUAAAGAGAGAAACAGAGGAAAAAAUUAUUUUUAGAUGCAGAGAAAGCCCUGUUGUGAUAUCAAUCAAGCAAUGGGUUCCAGAAGGUGCCGCCUUUUAUGUACUCCUUCAACAGAGACACGUUUGAACACCCACCAUGGGCCAGGUGGCCCCAAGCCUCAAGAUCUCAAGGACAGCACUCACAUAUAUGUGGGAACCUGGAGAAAGAAUGCAGAGUCCUUCAGCUGAAUUGAUUGAUAGGAACUAUGUGAGUUCCUCAAAAGCAGCGAGUCUGCCUAAUUCAUCUCUGAAAUCUUGGAACCUAGCAGGCUGCAGUCACAGAGCAGGUACUCAGUAAGUGUUUAGGAAUGAAUGAAUGAAUGACUGAUCGAGUGAAUAAUAUGAGAGUGUGUAUUCCAAUGAGAUGAGCAACCAUCAAGAACAUUCUCAUCUAUGUCUCUGGUGAUCAAUGUGUCCUGUGAUACAUUCAGGAAGCUAUUCUACUUGAGUCACAAAUUGUUGCCUCUAGCAAUUAAACCAUCACUUUAUAAGUGUGGUGUUAUAAGACCAGAAUUAAGAGGUUGAUUAAUUUCUCCGAGGCCUGAGUUCUUUAACCUUUGUAAGUCAUAGAUGGCUUUGAGAAGACUACACAGACCCUUCCAGAAAAAUAUGGAAGCACAUUUACAUAUCCACACAGCCUCGCUCACACUCUUGUCUUCAGGAGGUUCACAGAUACCUUCACCCAGGAGUGGACCCAGAUUUUGUGGGUCCUGAAGCCUUCUCUUUAAGAAAAAAAUAAUGAAUACAAAAUUAGGUACAGGGUCUUGGAAGGGGCCCCUCAAAUUGAGAGACCCCGAAACUGGCUACACGAGCUUCAGGGAAAAUCCACCCUUUUCCCUAUCCCCAGUUCAGAAUGCUUGACCUUGGUUCUGAACCUGUGCCAUGAUUAGUGGUGCCAGGCCAGGUGUCAGGCUGACCUGGGGAAGGACUAGGUGAGUCUUAAAAUCUUAAGCAUUUAGUUGGGUUGAUAACACGUUUUGUUUUUUGUUUCAUGAAGCAGUGCAGGUACUGCGCCUUCUUGGCCUGGGUUAAAAUAAAAGCAAAACUCUUUGACUUCUGAUGACAAUUUCAGAAAAUUUCUUCUCCUUUCAACUCAUCUGCCAUAAAAUUUUGUUCAAAAUAAAGUUACCUACUGAACUA